Molecule: microRNA, 22 nt
Filed under: Lytechinus variegatus (green sea urchin)
Lineage: Eukaryota; Metazoa; Echinodermata; Echinoidea; Temnopleuroida; Toxopneustidae
Also listed under: 1 other name
Description: lva-miR-2011-3p
Source: miRBase by way of RNAcentral
ACCAAGGUGUGCUAGUGAUGAC